This 1210-nucleotide long non-coding RNA is filed under the name Panax ginseng (ginseng). Its description in RNAcentral is "long non-coding RNA (PGIN_LNC008259)". Lineage: Eukaryota; Viridiplantae; Streptophyta; Magnoliopsida; Apiales; Araliaceae. The record is from RNAcentral.
AGAGCUGAUGUGAAACUUCUGCAUAAUGAAGGACUGCAUAAAUCAAGGUUGAGCUUUCUCCAAUAAAGUGGACUCAUUUAUUCAAAUAUUUGGGACUUUCAUAUCAUACUGGAUUUGAACCUUAGAUUAAAAAAAAUGCUUUGGAUUUCAACUUUCAACUUCACCAUUGGAUUUCAACUUUCAAGCUAUCACUGAAUUAUCUUCACCUAGGAACCUCGACAAGUCUUAUGGUUAUUAUAUUUAUAUUUACAUAGUGUAGUUCAGGUGUUUUUUUCCCUCUAGAAACUUAGUAUAUGUCCUUAGAUUUUAAUGUUUUUAGUGUUUUGAUCAAUUUGUUAAUUAUCUUCUAUUUUUCAUUCUCAUUUCAUCUUUUAGUGCAAGAAUUCUACUUUUUAUACGAAUUUACAGUUUAAAAAAAUUUAAUUCAUGGUGCGGGUUGCAUUUAGGCUCCUUAUCUUCUUCCAUUAUAUGACAGGCAUUGGGUGAUAAUACACCCAAAGACACUUUUCUACGGAAGUUAAAGUUACAAAAAUAUGGUGCUGUUUAUGUUAAUUCCCGUAUACAUGCUGUCAAAGCUGAAGUACUUGUGCAGAAGCAGUGUCCUUUAGUGGCACUAGCAACUUCUUCUCCCAGCCUAGUUGGUAGGUAAGCAUAACUAGGAUUGUAUCACAUAUAGCAAGCCAAGAUUUCAUUAAGUUAAAAAGUAAAAAUUUUAAAUGGCAUAGGACUUGGGUAGUAGUUGAUUUGUAAGAAAAUAACACAACAUUGUUGUCUUUGUGUAUUGAUUUUGGCACUAAGUGCUUCUGGUGACCUAUUUGCUUCAUUUUCCUUGUUAUUAUUUUUAAAUAUGUGCAGGAAGACUGCUUCUAUGACCUACCUUACUGUGACACCCCCAAAUCCGGGUACUUUGAUUCCACGGGAUUUGGUAUUCACUGUACAAAUAUCAUCUAUCUAUCUACCCAUAAUAAAUGCAAGUCAUGCAAUAGAUAGAAUAAAAAUCUUCCCCUCAAGGGUUACAACAUCCGAAUAAUAAUAAUACAAUCCUAGGUUAACCUAACCUUACAUCUGUGCGGAAUCAUAAACAAAUAAGUCUUAACAACAUCAUUAACUUAAGUCUUAAACAUAAAUACAUCAUCUAAUAAAAUAACAAGUCUUCAUCACUUGCUAACUUUGCCCUUGCCCUUACUAGUGGAAGGUUCAUCAGUUCUUU